GACUGUCUACGAGAGAGAAGCUCCCCAUGUGGUUCCGUCUUGAGAAGGGAGGGAAACACAGAAGAUGAGGGCUGAAAGAUGGCAUUGGACUUGGCACAGGGAUGGUCAGGAGGUCCUGAGUCACUUUGAGAAGGUGCAGAGGAAGCCAGAUUGAGCCAGCUUGAAGAGCCAGGGAGAGGGAGGGGUGGAGGUGGCUGUGGAAAAUGUUUGACUCUGAAAACUUGGGGUCUAGAAGGGAGGUGUUUGGGUUGCAUCUUUAGUAUGAGCUACUUGGUUAUGUUUAAAGCCUGAAAAUGAGUUAGUAGAGAAACUUUGAAAUUUAAGAGACAGAGAGCAUGUGGAUGCUGCUAGACACUGGUCCCUGAGGAGUCAAGAGAGUGAUUCAGAGGAUGGAGAGGUGCUGUUUCCUGGGAAUAGGGGUGUCCUCUCAUCACCACAGCACCAUUGUCAGCUUACAAAACCCAUCUAGAUGCUGUACUCCAGUAUUUCCAGUCCCCCCCAGUAAUGUCUUUUAUAUUAUUUUCCCUCCAGCACAGGAUGUGGUCUGGGAUCAGAUGU
RNAcentral lists this small RNA (558 nucleotides) under Pongo abelii (Sumatran orangutan). Its description in RNAcentral is "processed transcript". The record is from RNAcentral. Lineage: Eukaryota; Metazoa; Chordata; Mammalia; Primates; Hominidae.